UACGUAGGUAGCAAGCGUUGUCCGGAUUUACUGGGCGUAAAGAGCGCGCAGGCGGUCGUGCAAGUCGCGUGUGAAAGCCCCCGGCUCAACUGGGGAGGGUCACGCGAUACUGCUCGACUCGAAGGCAGGAGAGGGAAGCGGAAUUCCCGGUGUAGUGGUGAAAUGCGUAGAUAUCGGGAGGAACACCAGUGGCGAAGGCGGCUUCCUGGCCUGUUCUUGACGCUGAGGCGCGAAAGCUAGGGGAGCAAACGGG
Molecule: ribosomal RNA, 253 nt
Filed under: uncultured bacterium
Lineage: Bacteria
Description: partial 16S ribosomal RNA
Rfam family: Bacterial small subunit ribosomal RNA
Source: RNAcentral